CACCGCGGUUAUACGAGAGACUCAAGUAGAUAAGCAAACGGCGUAAAGUGUGGCUAAGGAAAGACAAAAAAUAAAGCAGAACAUCCUCAGCACUGUAGUACGUACCGCCGAGAGAUAGAAAAUCACCUACGAAAGUGGCUUUAAUUUUCCCCACUCACGAAAGCUGAGAAA
RNAcentral lists this ribosomal RNA (171 nucleotides) under Parapercis alboguttata (whitespot sandsmelt). RNAcentral describes it as "partial 12S rRNA". Lineage: Eukaryota; Metazoa; Chordata; Actinopteri; Uranoscopiformes; Pinguipedidae. The record is from RNAcentral.